This 682-nucleotide ribosomal RNA is filed under the name uncultured bacterium. RNAcentral describes it as "bacterial SSU rRNA". It matches the Rfam family "Bacterial small subunit ribosomal RNA", at positions 60 to 736 of the family's 1533-position model. The record is from RNAcentral.
AGUCGACGGACUCAUAUUGAAACCUAGUGAUUUAUGAGUUAGUGGCGGACGGGUGAGUAACGCGUGGAAAACCUGCCGUAUACCGGGGGAUAACACUUAGAAAUAGGUGCUAAUACCGCAUAAGCGCACAGCUUCGCAUGAAGCAGUGUGAAAAACUCCGGUGGUAUAUGAUGGUUCCGCGUCUGAUUAGCUAGUUGGCGGGGUAACGGCCCACCAAGGCAGCGAUCAGUAGCCGGCCUGAGAGGGUGAACGGCCACAUUGGGACUGAGACACGGCCCAAACUCCUACGGGAGGCAGCAGUGGGGAAUAUUGCACAAUGGGGGAAACCCUGAUGCAGCGACGCCGCGUGAGUGAAGAAGUAUUUCGGUACGUAAAGCUCUAUCAGCAGGGAAGAAAAGGAACUAAAGUUCCCAUGACGGUACCUGAUUAAGAAGCCCCGGCUAACUACGUGCCAGCAGCCGCGGUCAUACGUAGGAUCCGAGCAUUAUCCGGAGUGACUGGGUGUAAAGAGUUGCGUAGGUGGCAUAAUAAGUAGCUAGUGAAAUCUGGUGGCUCAACCAUUCAGACUAUUAGCUAAACUGUUAAGCUCGAGACCGUUAGGGGUAACUGGAAUUUCUAGUGUAGGAGUGAAAUCCGUAGAUAUUAGAAGGAACACCAAUAGCGUAGGCAGGUUACUGGGACG